UACGGAGGGGGCUAGCGUUGUUCGGAAUUACUGGGCGUAAAGCGCACGUAGGCGGACCAGAAAGUCAGGGGUGAAAUCCCGGGGCUCAACCCCGGAACUGCCCUUGAAACUCCUGGUCUUGAGUUCGAGAGAGGUGAGUGGAAUUCCGAGUGUAGAGGUGAAAUUCGUAGAUAUUCGGAGGAACACCAGUGGCGAAGGCGGCUCACUGGCUCGAUACUGACGCUGAGGUGCGAAAGCGUGGGGAGCAAACAGG
RNAcentral lists this ribosomal RNA (253 nucleotides) under uncultured bacterium. RNAcentral's name for it is "partial 16S ribosomal RNA". It matches the Rfam family "Bacterial small subunit ribosomal RNA", at positions 524 to 776 of the family's 1533-position model. The record is from RNAcentral.